Molecule: ribosomal RNA, 335 nt
Filed under: uncultured bacterium
Lineage: Bacteria
Description: bacterial SSU rRNA
Rfam family: Bacterial small subunit ribosomal RNA
Source: RNAcentral
AUUUGACGUUACCUACACGAAGAAGACACCGGCUAACUCCGUGCCAGCAGCCGCGGUAAUACGGAGGGUGCGAGCGUUAAUCGGAAUUACUGGGCGUAAAGACGCAUGCAGGCGGCCUGUUAAGUACAGAUGUGAAAGCCCGGGGCGUUAACCUCGGAAUUGCAUUUGAAACUAGGCAGGCUAGAGUCUUGUAGAGGGGGGUAGGAAUUUCAGGUGUAGCGGUGAAAUGCGUAGAGAUCUGAAGGAAUACCAGUGGCGAAGGCGGCCCCCUCGGACAAAGACUGACGCUCAGAUGCGAAAGCGUGGGGAGCAAACAGGAUUAGAUACCCUGGUAG